CCUUGUACACACCGCCCGUCACACCAUGGGAGUUGGUUUUACCCGAAGGCGCUGUGCUAACCGCAAGGAGGCAGGCGACCACGGUAGGGUCAGCGACUGGGGUGAAGUCGUAACAAAGGUACC
This 123-nucleotide ribosomal RNA is filed under the name uncultured bacterium. RNAcentral describes it as "partial 16S ribosomal RNA". It matches the Rfam family "Bacterial small subunit ribosomal RNA", at positions 1379 to 1500 of the family's 1533-position model. The record is from RNAcentral.